AUAAAAACGUAUGUAAGUAAUCAAACUCCGAUGAUUUAACCAAACACAAACACCGGUCUUCCCCAUUUCGCUAAACUGCGACAGAGGUAAUUCAUGUGCUGAUGGGGUAAACAGUUUCACAUGUAGAGUCCCUCCGGUACACCUUCCUUCUUCUUGAACAUGACCUUCUCUUUGGCCUUCUUGAAGUCAGCAUGUGUCACCUGUAAACAGAAAGUAGAAAAGAGCAGGAGAUGUAAAACAUUCAGAAUCAAAACUAUCGUCCAGUUACAUAAUAACUUAAGAAAAAUAGAAAGACUGCCCUGGUGAAACAAACUGUCUAGGAAGUUCAACUGUGUCUUGGGUAGUUAUACGUUCAAGUUCAUAGUUAGCUCAGAAGGUUAUUUUAUCAUGACUUCACUAUUAGUAUUAAGAAGGAUUCUGACUACAGAGCAAUGAUGUCUUACCUUCAUCCUGCGCUCUCUUAAGGCAAGCAAUCCAGCUUCAGUGCAUAUUGCUUUGAUAUCAGCACCAGAAAACUCAUCCUUGGUCAUCACAAACUCUUCCAGGUUCACAUCUUCUGCUAGUGUCAUCUUAGCUGUGUGUAUCUGCCAAAGGCCCAAACAGAACUCUUGAUAAGGGGAAAAUAAAAGGUUUUCAAUCGAAUACAUAGAGCUACAUAUUAAGCAGAAAUGCACCUGGAAGAUACGCCGCCUUGUUUUAAUAUCUGGGAGAGGAAAUUCAAUCUUUCUGUCUAUUCGACCUGGUCGGAGCAAGGCUGGGUCCAGGCUCUCAAUGCGAUUCGUCGCUAGAAUAACUUUUACAUCUCCUCUUGAAUCAAAACCAUCCAACUGAUUUAACAACUCCAACAUGGUUCUCUGAAUCUCACGCUCACCUCCUGAAUGAGCAUCAUACCUAUAAUAAAGAGAAAAAAAAGUAAUCAGGACUCAAUUUAACUGAUUAGUCAUGGGAAACUCCAACAAUUUUUCCUCGUAUACAAAGAAUAUCCAUACUAUAGUGAACUCCCAAUAUGUGGAAUACAUUACCUCUUUGUUCCAACUGCAUCAAUCUCAUCAAUAAAGACAAUUGAAGGAGAAAGAUCAUCAGCCACCCUAAACAGCUCUCUUACAAGCUUGGGGCCAUCACCAAGGUACUUUUGGAUCAACUCACUGCCAACAACACGCAAGAAUGUUGCUGAUGUAGAAUUAGCAACAGCCUGCCAUUCACAAUUUGGAACAAUGAAAAAAGUUACACCCUUUUUUAUAGGAGAAGAUAUAUAGUUAUCCUACAACCAGUACUGGAACAAGAAUAACACGCAUUUAUGGGGUUCACCAAUUCAAUAGAGAAGAGAUGUAUGAAUGAAGAAAAACAUGGAUGUCGAAGACAUCAGUGCCCAAGGGAAAACAACAAAAGAAUUAAACCUUUGCAAGUAGAGUUUUCCCUGUUCCAGGUUCCCCAUAUAAUAUGACUCCCUUCGGAGGCCUGAUUCCAAUGUCCUCGUAUAGCUCAGGAUGUGUCAAAGGAAGUUCGACUGCCUCCUUGAUCUCCUGAAUUUGGGCGUCCAAACCACCAAUGUCAGCAUAAGACUCCAACGGUGCCUUUUCAACUUUCAUAACGGAAACCAUGGGAUCAACUUCAUCUUGCAAAAUUCCGACCACUGAGAGAACCUGACAGAAAUGAUAUAUCAAGCUUAAUUCUCAUCAAACUUCUGACAAGUAAAUAGGCGCAUAAAGUUUCAAGUUCGUCACAUCAAAUAGUGCUACAAUUUCCAAAGUGAAAUGAAACUAAAGAUCUAGAUAUGCACUCAGUGGAAACAAAAUACAGAGAAUUCAAGAGUUGAAGUUAGAUGCAGACUGAAGAAAACAUGUACUGCAGAGUGAAAUACUUAAAGAGAAGCAAUGCAUCUAACAGCAAUCUUGAUCUUAUGGAAGCAAUGACACAAACUGUGGUUUACACUUUAAUUACGGAGUUCGAGUGAACAGAUGUUGUUUUCAAAACUAUCAAUUGUUGAAAAUGGUUGAUGAUAAUGCUCAUGUCUGAAAGUGAUCAGCAUCAUAUGAAAAAGAUGGUAUUUAACUAUUUAUCCAAAUAUUUAAUUUCCGCAAAAAAUUUCCUUGGACAACAAGGAAACAGUCAAUUAGCGAUUAAAUAAACCUCUGCAAAUACACCAUAAACAUCAUCUUAAAAGUUACAGCACAGUUCAUGCAAACAUAUCUUCACUUUAAUCGAUUGUAGUACAUGCAUGGUUUCAUUUCAACGUUGUCUGUAAAUAACGUCCGCCUACAGUACAAACAACUUUACCUUAUCAAACACCAUAUAUAUGUGUCACAGUUGUCUACCUACAUCACAUGCAACGACCGUGGUCAUCACUAUUCAUAGGUUUCACCCCAUCCCACCAUGUCUAGAUGACCUAAUAUAUUCCCCAAGUUCACCAAAUUCGAUCUAUAUUAAUUCACUCUCAUGUUUUUUGUCUCCCUUAACGAAUUUGAUCUUUCCACUAUUUUUUUAAACCUUUUGACUCCAGAAAUUCACCGGCAUCUUCCACUAGUUUGCUUUAACCAUUUCGGAUCCAAGGGAGUCACCAGCAUUAUUACUAUAAUUUGAAUUUGCAUUAGGAUUUGUCACCAAAUCUACUGCCCGCACCUCUUCUAAUCCAUCAGAAAUCCAGAUCAAUGUAAAAUUUACAGAUGUACCUUAUUAUGCAUCAGUAUAGAGCAUCCGGGCUCCAACUGGUCCUUGUCGACGAACGACAGUAUGCUGACAUAAUACUCGGGCCCAACAGACGACGAGACAAUCGCGUGGCUCUCGUCGAUGAUCUCCUCGAGCGAGCCCACGCUCAUAGGGGUCCCGCGGAGGUCAUCGACCUUAGAUCGGUCCUCCUCCGUCUUGUCUUCGCUGGGGCGCAGCCGCUCCUGGCUCACGACGAACUCUUCCUCCAUGAGGAGAUAGUCCUUCACGCGGUCCAGCUUGAGCAGGCGGAGGCGGCACUUGGAGAGCGGCGCCACUGGGGGCAGACGUGCCGCGACGUCCGGCCCCUUCUGUCUCCGCUGCUUGCGCCCCACGCGGGACGGUGCGGCGGGGGGCUCGAACUUCUUGUCCUUCUUAUCACCGGCGUUGCCAUCGCCCGGCUUGCGGUCUCCGGGGAGACCUCCCUGCUUGCCCAUGCCGCCCGGAGUGCCCUGUCCCAUCGCCGCCGGCCGGUUGCUUCGAUUCAAGGGUUAGGGUUUGGGUCUGGGUCUGGGUCUGGGAGAAGGUGGAGUUGCGGAGAGGGAGAUCGAGUCGAAAUAAAGAGGGCACUUUCUUUUUCUCUGGAGGUUAGAUUUCCUUCUUUUCUCUAGAGAUAAAUAAACACUGUUAUGUUAGUACGUGGUCAAAACAAAACAAAAUGACUGUUAUGCUGUGUAUAUUUAUGUCUCUUUCUCAAGUCUCACAUUCUUAUUUUCUCGCUCGAUAACACCCGGGUCCCUUUUCCACUCAACCUCUUAAUUCUGAAACAGUAAAAUAGUGUUUGGCUAAAAUAAAAUUGUUACGAAAAUACAGAUAACCAUUAGACGUUGCUUUUUCGUCUAGAUACGUCGCACGACUAAUUAUCAUUAUAAGCAGUUCAGAAACAUCCAACAUAUUUUUAAGGUUUAUGCUUAUGUACAUUUAAAAAAGACUCAAAAAUACGGAUUGUUCGGAUCGCUAAGAAGGGCAUGAUGAUUGAUUUAAAAUUUAUAAGCCUCUCUUUCUUCCUCCUGACUUUUUGUUUCUCUUUGUACAGUGCUCUUUCUUUAAUGAUGGGGAUCAACCUUUUUUCCAAAAAAAAAUGUUUCUUCCUCUCCAACGCCUGCUCUUUCCCUCCCUCUCUCUUCCGCGUCUAUUCUCAGCGGCCAUGGCGCCCCUUCUCACAGACAACGAAUGGAUUUUUCCAAACCCUUCGAUGGCCAGGAGCGAGCUGAGCGAUCGCUCGGGCCCUAAAUCGCUAUUAGGAAGUUAGGAUUAGCACCAAAAAAAUCCAACAAUCGCAACAGGGCACUCACGGACACACCACACAUGGAGUAAAAAAGAAUCAAAUCCGUAUGUUCAACUUUGAUCGAGGCGACUGCUUGGCUCCUACAUCUCUCCAACUUGCACAGGCGGUGACUUGACAACUUCGUCACUUCGACUAUUCAACUGUUGAUGAAGUGUCGAUCUUCAUUUAGUCUUGUGCGGAGUUGCGCCGUCGAGCCGAUCAAAUUAAUUGAUUCCAAUUUCUGAUCUAGAUCAAGUUCAUAGUAUGUCUCCAAUUUUUGAAUUUUGCUCCGGGCCCCCAAUUUCUGCAGACGGCCUAGAUCCUCCAAGAGGACGGAAACCAUGGCAGGGCAUGACUUGAGCAUGAAGAGCAGGAGAUGCGGGUCUGGAGAAAGUUAACGUGCGGACUAAGUGGAGAAAGCUGUUGACUGAACCAAAAAGACAUUAGCUUUUGAGUUUGAAGGGAGGGGUGUACCGAAGCAAGCAUCUAUUUUCAAUGCUCUCAAUUUGGGGGCAAAAAAAAAUCAUAAACAGUUCUAAAUGGAAUCAACUUACUUUGACACCAUCACUUUUGUACUAACCUACUACCAUCAUAUCACGAAGUCGCGUUGCCGUGCCCGUUGGUUUCAAUAAUACAAUGAUAGAAAGAACAACAAUAUCUAAGUACAUAAAAGAUGAAAAAAAUUGCGUGAACUUUUUGUUAGUGAUGUAAGAAACAAUAAAUGCUUAUGUUCUAAUGGUUUUUGCAGGAGAAAACACAUGGAUGGUGGCUGCCACCGCAACAUCCAAUUUAUUGUUUUCAAGGUGUAGGAAAUGACCAAUAUCAUUAUUCACUUUGACCCCCAUGCUAAUCCUUUGUACAAAACUCGCAAUCCAAUUUCGCCACAAGGACAAAAAUCCUCUCAUACACCGUUUUCUUAAAGAAAAUGCCACUUAAUGUUGUCGUAUCGUAUAUCUUUUUGAAAUUUACUUUGAAAAUAAACACCAUCCAUCUCAUUCGCAAUCUCAUGACGUACGGCCACACCCUCCAAAAUGUGUCUUCCUAGCAUGAAAGAGCUGGAUAGAUAUGUGAAUUGAGCCUGGCUCAGGUGGUGUGGUUUUUUGUGGUGGAACCAACCCACCCAGGUUCAAGUCCUAAACUUGGCAUGGAUGCUCACAUUUCUUGGAUUUAACCGGCGCUUUGCUUUUAUUGGUAAGUGACGUACCCGUCAACAGCUGUGCGUGUGUGCGUUCAUAGGGUGAGUGUUCACGUUCACGUGUGUUUAUGAGUUACUGUGUUUUUCAAUAAAAAUAAAAACCUCGAUAAAUCAUCUUGUGGGCCAUGGCCGUGAUCCGAUUGGUGCAGACCUUGGUAAAUAUAUCUUAAAACCAUCAGAUUUUUGUUUUCGAGAAAGAGGGAAAAAAAACUCGGCAUCAGCAUCGAUCGAUGCACACAACCAUAGACAAGACCAUCAAAUGGACCAAUCUUUUGAAAGAAAAUAAAAGGAAAAUACUAGGUUGCUUUGCUCAUUAUAUCACCGAAUCAGACAGAGGUUCAAACUAUCACCAAAUAGAAAUAAGGAAGGUAGACAGAACGACAAACUUGCCCCCAUAAAAUUAGACCACCAAAAAAACUUUGUACUACAGAGUUUCAGAUACACGCUACAAUAAAAUGAAAGAACAUGCAUUCUUUUCUCCACCUUGAACAACAAACACACGGUUCUACAUCUAGAUAUCUUGAGAACAAGGAGUUCUCAAUCAUGAGAUAGCAGCGAUAUGUUCUUGGAGUCUUGAAUAUAGCACAGAACAUGAAGAAUAAGCAUGUAUCAAGGUAUGCUCCAUGUAUGUACAAAUGUGCUAGCUACUAACAAUCGACAGCAAUCACAUAAGGCAUAGCAUCUUCGCGUGCAAGAGGGACAUCUCACGCUUUGCUUCUCCAGAAUGAAUGAUUCAUGUAACAGCUUUACUCUUCUGCAUGACGAUUCACAUCAUCACAUGUACGUUUGUUUGGAGAGCUUGUAACCGGAAACUAUAGCUGACAGUGCGAGGGAAACAAAUGCAAGGAAGGCCAUGCUGAUCGCGGCAGCGGUAGCAUCGGUGAAGUUAUUGAUCACUGCUGUUCUCAUGCGGUUCGUGAUGGGGAUAGCGGCAGAAAGAGCAGACAUCAGCAAGUAUGCGACUACCUGCAGAUAUGAUUACGAGUUUCUGUUAACUCCUAUACAUAUGGUUAUGAAAUUUUGCACCUGACAUAUUCUCAGAAAGAAUGCAAGUGACAGGCAAGUCAAGGAGUUCAUAUUUGGAUGGUUAUGAAACAUGAAAGGUUCAAAACUUGCUAGUCUGCUUUAAGCAGGCACAAGUAAGAAUUUUAUGGGAUGUAGAAUUCCUGACUCGUUACUUUUUCUUUUUUGGAAGAACUGACUUUACAUUGUCAGUCCUACUUUCAUAAUUAAGAAAAUUUAGCAAUGUGUACUAGGAAAGUAAAUUUAUCAAGGUUAAGUUCCAGAAAAACUACUUUUGAGUACAGUUAGCAUACAAAUUCCAUAGUUUGUUUCCAUGAGAUCCAAAGCCAUGAAAAACAAAACAGAAGCGUGAUUGUAGCAAGCUGGUAAACAGCAAUUAUUUGGAGGAGGCAGUAGCUAACCAAAAAAGCCAGCCCUCAUGUAGAAGCAGCACGGGUCCAAAAUAUUCAUGCCCUCCAGGGCAUCCUAACUCCUAAGUAAAUGCACACCACAAGCAUUUGAGAGUCUUAAGCAUCAUUCAAUGGACAAAAUGAACAUCUUUUUAAGAUGCAGUACUAUACUGCUCCAAGGCUCCAAGGAAACCAAUCAUUUGGAACGUACAUGGAAUGGAACAUGUAUCAACUUCUAAUGGCUUCUCGCUGGUCCCAACCACUCAAAUCUACCCAUUCCAAUACUACUACACUACACUACACAUGCAGCAUGGUGGGUUGGCUCACAGAUUUACCAAAUUAUUGGAGCAUUAUUGAGAGCUACUAGCCUCUUGUCAUUUUCUUAGUCUCUUCCAGAAACAAAAGAAACGAGAAGAGGUAAUGGGUUGUCUAGUUUGUAAAGCUAUGUCUGGGAGAACAUCUGAGCGUGACACUUCUUAGACCAAUCUAGCAACUCCAACAGUCAAAGACGCCUCCACUCGGAUACAAGAACAAUACUUAUCAGGAUAUCAGCGUAUUGCACGCUAGUAUGGAUUGCACGUUACAUGGAUGGUGGGAAAAGAAAAGAAAAAAAAACUUGUAGUGGGUUGAUGCCUCUUUAUCAUGGAUUUGGCAUCUCUACUCGCCUGUCGCUACUCUUACUUUAACAGGUUAAAUUUCUCCCACACUUUAUUACGGAGUAUUUCUUUAUACGGCCCCCUUUCCCUUCUCUGUCUGAGCAGCAAUCCAGUCGUAUGGGAUCGAAAUUUCAUGAACUCCUACCGGAUCGGGUGAAAUAAUUUCUUUAACUAAGUAGCAAACAAUAGUAUAUCUGCAGACUAACAGCUCAGAGCAAGUGACCUGAUCACCGACGAAAUCGAAAAGCCUCCCCGACGCGGCCGAGACGGGAUCGGCGCCGCCGCGCAUCCGGUGAGCAUGCCGCAGCGCCUGCGCCAGCGAGUAGAGUAAGGCCAGGGCCACGAUAGCAAGCAGAUACCUGGUCAGCAGAAACAACAAGUAAACAACGCAGCACAUGUGAAGCCGCUUGCAAUAAGCCCGAAUCGAAGAGCGGCCCAAGGCAAGCUAGACCUGAAUCGCGCACCUGUACUCCUGGUAGCGGUCGAACUGCAUCCAGUCGCCGUGCUGGUUGGACGCGACGAGCACGAGCGCGACGAAGGCGAAGGCCGCGGCGGCGGCGUGCAGCGCGAGCGGGCACUUGUCGAGCAUUUCUUCCCGCCGCCCCCGCGCCAACACCGAAUCCACCACGCCUCCGCCGCCGCCACGGGCUCGGGACCGUCCCGCUCCCGCGCCCGCGGUGGAGGCGCCGUUGUAGGAGCUGUAGUUAUUUUCAGCCUCCGGGGGCUUCGUGGAGGCCUCGAUGGCCGGGGGCGGGGAGGCGUCGGCCGUGACCAUCGCCAUCGCUCACCAGUGGCACAGCAGUCCCUCGAUGCUGAAUGGGGGAAGCCUGUAAAACUGAAGUGCUCUGCUUUGUGUGGGAAGCCGGAAAAUGCACUUGAGGCGAAAGCAAACCUCCUCUCAUUUUCUCAAGAAUCUUCACGGGUCACGGCUCGGUAGCUCUCGGGCCCAUUUGUCAGUGAGCUUCUGAUGCGUGCGUUCUUUCCGGUACCUAGAUAAUGAGGUCAUACUUCGUUGACAAGUGGGGACCGUUGAUUGGUCUCGUUAACUUUUGUGUGACGAAUUGUGGGCCUCCAUCUUGACCACCAGGUGUUUAUCUUUUCCGAGCGACUGCCAGGCUGCCAGCCAGAUGGUCCAAUAGAGGCUGCCGCGUCGUUUUCUUCUUUUUUUUUUUGCGCAAAGUAUCUCGUCUGAAGUUCACGAGAAACUUGAUCAUUUUUGUUUUUGCACAAAGCAGGAAGGAACCUGAUCAAGGCAGGAAGGAAGACAAAGAAGACAAACCUGAAAAAGAGGGUCAUAAAACUGUAGGGCGAUGUCUCAGGAAAUAUCACGUGCUCACUGUAUAACCUGAAGCCUGAUAUCCUCUUUAUUCACUCUUAUGCUCCAUACCUGCAGCGGAUCAGCAAUAUGCGCUUUAAUCGCUAAAAUGGCUAGGUUGACAUUGUCAAAUAUUCUGUAGAAUGAUUUAACGGCGCAGAAUAGAUUGUUCAGGUCUGAAAUGUUUGGGUUCAUAUAUUUCUCGUUGAAAAGGGGUAUCGAGCAUUCGAGCAGCGCGGACUCAGAGACAAGUCUACGAAUAGAUGGGCCUUUUGAUAUGGGUUUUUUUUCUAUCCUUGUAAUUUUGCACAAAUUUGAGACUAUUGACUAAACAAAAUAAACUUGAACUUUAUCAUAUUGAAAACAAAGCGAUGCGUCAAGAGUGACAUAUGGCGUAGCUCUUUGAUACUGUGUUCGCUGAGUUACAAUGCCUUGGGUAAAGGAUGUACACUACAAAAAUUGCGUCAAAUUGUUUUUUUUUUACUUCAGAAAAAAAACUCUAGCUCUAAAAUCUGGCCAUGUGAAGUAGAAUGGUGAAACUGGUUGAUAAUUUCGAUGCUCGGGUCAAAAGAUAGUGCAUUCUGUAUUUCGUUCUAAAAGAAGAAAAGAAGAUCACCAAACAUCCUUUCGUGCGGAAAAUCAUGGCCACCUUAUUGUCCCUGUAUGGGCAUCACGUGGCAAGGGAGGUGCAUCCUUGAAUAGAGAUGGAAAUAAAGGAGAGACUUUACGGGGGGGUUUUUAACAGAGGAGAAACUUUACGUUUGUUCUGCGGGAAAAAUAAAAGGAGAAAAAUAUGGAAACGGAGCGGAAUGUAACGGCAUAAGGCCGAAGAUCAUGACUUGCUCAAGGCCGGAGUAUUUAACUGGGUGCAUCAUGGCUCCAAAAUUCAGCCCAGGGUGGUCAAAAUCGCAGUGCUAUCGAGUUCACUCAUAGAAAAAAGCCUGCUCCCUAUUGAGAGAUAACGUGGUUGUGUUAAGGCCGCCACGGCCCACAGGCCACGCGGAUUGGGCUGCUUCCAUGGAGUCAUGCCAACUCGGGUUGGGCGGUUAUCCGUUCUUUCGUUUUUUUCUUUUGUUGAGAGAAAGUCCUUGUUGCAGGCGACUGCCAAUAAUUUGUUGCUGCGCAAUCAAACAUUUCACUAACUCUCAAAAAAAAUAUUCAAACAUUUCACUGUUGAGCUGUUUACACUUUUGAAUUCACCAGGAGUUGUAACUACUGAUAACCCAAUCAUCCAGAAAUAGGGUGGAGUACAUGAUCCACCCUAUUUGUGAAGUAGUCCGAGGUAGUUAUUUGUUUCGCAAAGUGAAAAUUAAGAGCUAAAGACAAUAGCCGCGAGCUGUGCUGGUAAAGGGUUUUGUUUGCUAAUACUGUGCUUUGCUUGGUGCUGAAGGGUGUGCCUUCUCGUGCUCACUUGGGGCGAGAGCUGCUUCACCGUUGUUUAACCGACGCUACAACUCAUACUACCAGAUGUGACGGAGAAAAAGUUUCCCUUGUUUCAUGCAUGCAUCGGACAGAAAGGUUUCAUCCCCUUCCAUGCAAGAAUGGAGUAUCAUAUACAGUAGAAUAAUGCAAUUUGCUACUUAUUUGCUUUUGUACGGCGCAAUUUAUGACUUCUUUUUGUUCACGGUUUGGGGGAUGCUAGCAUCCUCAAAGACAAAAAUGUUGACCGGUAAUUAGCGGCACCACUGGAAACUCUUGUCGGCGAAUUCAACCUACUGGUCAGCUGACUAGUGACUGUAUUAGGUAAAUUUUCCUGUACCUAAUACUCCACCACCCUCAAUAUGAAGUAUGGGAAGGGCGUAUCUGACUUUUCAUUUUAGCGCUAGUGAAAAGUUAAAAAAUAAAGUUGGGCUCCUCCCCCCCCCCCCAACUCCCCACCAUAUCCUUCCUAAACGCAUAACAACGUCGCCGCCUCAUCACAGAGCGCCGUCACCCUCCACCCUCUCUCUCCGUGCCGGCGCCCUCGACCUAGCCCGCGUCGCCGCCGCCUUCCUCUAGCGCGCCACCGCCGUACUCUCCCUCAUCUAGCGUACCACCGCCUCCCUCCCCCCAGCCUGCGCCGCCGACUUCGACGCCCAGUGCGCCGACACAUUCCUCCCUGCUAACAACACGCCAUCGCCGUCGCCGUCCUCAUCUUUCCAGGCCACCGCAAUCCUCUCUCCAGGCAUCCGCAUCGACGGGGAACGAGGGAGAAGGUCCGGGAUUUUAUUUUUCUUCGACUGUAGUUGGAUUACGAUUUUGCCCCUGUUUCCGGAUACUCCAUCCUGAUACUCCACACAUCUAAACUGGAGCAUUAAGGAGUAGUAUCAUCUAAUUUGAGCCGGUGGAUCUAAAAAAUAGACGGUUCAAAUUAAUUCUAGAGUAUUUUAGAAGAGCUCCAUUAUUGUGAGUGAAAUGUAUGUACGGUUUGGUUAUUGGCACCAGCAGCACUCCCUUUCACAUAGGAAUAGUCGGGCAUCAUGAAAACGCAUAACGUAAUCACGAGAAGAUGUGUCAUGUGUGCACGGGACUUCAAUAGUUUUUCUGGAAAUUUUGUGAUUUCAAAUUACAAGCAAGCAUGCAUAACCCAUGCCAUUACAUACUCCAUAAAACAAACUUCCGGGAUCUCUUAUAUAAAAAACUUCCGGAUCUUCUCAUGUUCUCUCCUUGCCAUGACAGGCACCCAAACCCAACAACUCUCACUGCCUUCAAUCUUGGCAGUGAUGAGAGUGGAAAAACCACCGAGAGAGUGAGAAAAAUUACAAGCGAGAGGCAACCAGCCGAAAGUGAUCGCUGGCCGGCCCUCCUCACCUAAAAGCUAAAACUCAACGAUCGAACGGCCAUAAGCGCCCAGCACAUGGCAUACGGCCACGCGACGCCGUUCGAUCAUCCUUGCGUGCACACGGUACACCGUGCACAGUACCAGAUCCUACUGCAUCCCCCGUAUAUGUACAACUCGAUCGGAAGCAAACUAGAAACGGUAGCAGAUGCCGUUUCCCCUCUCCAUGAAUCGAGUCAUGCUGAGUGAGCUAAUUCUUCCGGGAUGAUCUGGAGAUGCGGCCGCCACACCGUCGCGCGGACGCUCCGGCCGCGCUUGACGCACCGGGCCUUGCCUUCCGACAGCACCUCCGCGAGGUAGCUGUCUCCGGCGGCGCCGUCUUUCUGCGCCACCUUAUUAUUAGCGCUAGCGCUCGGCACGCUCGUCGGCUUCAACGACGACGGCCCCUUCUUGGACUGUGGCUGCUGCGACGGCUUCCUCUUCUUCUUCUUCUCCGGCACCGACGACGCCGGCACGAGGAAAUAGAAGCAGCCGCGCUCGAGCUCCGAGCCGGGGGCGACGACGACGAGGAUCCGCCGCGCGCCGCCCUGGGGGCACGGCCGGCUGACGACGUGGCUGGGGUGCGCCGCCAUCACGUCGCCGGCGGUGAGCGGGCGGGAGUACUCCUCGAUGUGGCCGUUGAGGUGGACGAUGCGGAUCACGUCGAAGGAGCCGCAGGGGAGGACGCAGGCCAGGCAGCACCGCAGGCUGUUGCCCAUGCUCUCCUACUAACCGUUGCUUAAUUAGCAAUGGAAAAACUCUCCCUGCUUUCUGGACGCCUGGAAUUGUUGCUUGCCUCUUAGUUUGGCUCUUGGGGACGUUCUUGUAGCACUCGGCUUUAUAUAGGGGAGGGGACUUCCACUUGUUGGAGUACUGAUUACUGAAACAAGUGGAAUACUUGUAAAAAAACAAGUGAAUAAAUUAAAGCUAGUGCAAACGAAAAAAAAAUUAAGUGGCAAAAGCUUUGCCGUUAUAGUAAUAAAGCAGGAAUUAUGUACAUUGGUGGAGGGGAUGACAUAGAGACUUUGCCCCAGUGCCGAUCUAGGCAGUAAUCUCAUCUUUGAUGUGGGAAAUGACCACGUUCCGGGGUGACGAGACAUUUCGAAAAAGACAGGAGUUGCGCUCCUUCCAGAUCCCCUAGGCAACAAAAAUGGCGAGAGAACGGGCACCUUUAGAAGUCCUACCCGAAGACUACGUACAACAUGGAGUCUCAAAGGACAAAUAACGAGCAAUUGCCUGAAGAGGAGGCAGCCGGGGGGGCAUCUAGCAUCAUUCCAGAACGCGCCUACAGAAGCGGCACUAAAAAUGUAGGUGGGCCACUGGCUCGGGGUUGCGAACUGACUGCACAUCUUGCAAAACCGGACCAUGGGGCUACCCCCUAGCCUCCCACCUGUCAGCGGUCCAAAGCCGGUUUUGCAAAGCCAACCAGGGGAGGAGCUUAGUUUUGUAGAACAUAAACUAGAAAAUUAUUUUGAGAUACACGCACAAAUGUCACAAAAGAACACAAAGAAAAUACAAAAACAAUGAAUUAUAAUUUGGGUUAAAAAUGCUACUCCGUAGUGAAGUCCCGCUUAAGUUUGACUACGAGCUAUAAUUUCUGACUAAAUUUUUAUUGUGAAAACUGAGAUGGAUGAGAGAUAAGAAAAUUUGAUUAGGAAACCAAAAAUACGACCAACAGAGAUAAUCGAAAAUGUAGUUAUAACAGUUUGCUAUAACAGUUAGAAUAGCACACAUGCUCUUAAGGUUUUUUCAGGAUCAAAAUAUUACUUUAUUAACAUUAAGCUAAUCAUGAUAUAUAUCUUCACGGUAUACUUACUUGAUAUUGUAUAUAAUACUAGCUUAAAUACCCAUGCGUUGCUAUGGAUAAAAAAAUUAGACUACUCGCUAAAUUAGAUUAAAAUAACUAUUACAUGUUAGGGGCACUGCCCAUCUUAUUCCAAUUUUGAUGACAAAAAUUAUCCACACAUGUCAAUCUUUUGCAAGAGGUUUAGUUUUUUCUUUUUUUUCCCAUUCGACCAAAAUAUGAUCGGUUCCGCAAUCACUGAUAAUGGAACAAAUAGGUUUAAUUGUUUGCAUUAGAAAGAGAGGACAGUUGUUUUUUUGACAAUAGAAAAAAAUGAUGAGGUUAUUUCUUCACAACAAAAGUCGGUGACGGACCGCCGCCACCAAUUGGCUCUUUUAUAAGAGUAAAGAUUACAUUUUUCUAUAACUAGCUAAAUGUCCGCGCUUUGCUACGAGAUUAAGAAUCGGCGGCUGUGGUUCAUAUUUUUUUAAAAAAUUCUGAUAAAUAAUAAAUAUCUCAAUAUAUUAUUUUUGAAAAACAAUUAUCUUGAAAGUCAUCAAACCAAUCAAGAAUAGUCAAAAGAUCAUGAUACAUAUAAAAUAAGUGGCAAUUAGAUGAGUCUGUAACCAUUAAGGGAUAGUAUUGUUGAGUGAACUCGCGACCACCGACUCAGAUCUUUAUAAGUGUAAAGACCGUGGUCCAGCCUAAAAAAGUUAAAAACUUUCAUCAAAAUAAAAAAAGUAAAAAAUUAAGGUACUCACUCCGAUCCAUAUUAAUUGUCUCAUAUUUAUUCAAAUAUGGAUGUAUCUAUGUCUAAAAGGCAUCUAGAUACUCCCUCCGUCCCAUAAUAUGAGGCACGCGCGCAUUCCUAGAUCGUCA
This 14007-nucleotide long non-coding RNA is filed under the name Brachypodium distachyon (stiff brome). Its description in RNAcentral is "long non-coding RNA (BDIS_LNC001344)". The record is from RNAcentral. Lineage: Eukaryota; Viridiplantae; Streptophyta; Magnoliopsida; Poales; Poaceae.